RNAcentral lists this ribosomal RNA (254 nucleotides) under uncultured bacterium. RNAcentral's name for it is "partial 16S ribosomal RNA". It matches the Rfam family "Bacterial small subunit ribosomal RNA", at positions 524 to 776 of the family's 1533-position model. The record is from RNAcentral.
UACGGGGGGAGCAAGCGUUGUUCGGAUUUACUGGGCGUAAAGGGCGCGUAGGCGGCCACCGCAAGUCGACUGUGAAAUCUCCGGGCUUAACCCGGGAAGGUCAGCCGAUACUGCGGGGCUAGAGUGCAGAAGGGGCAACUGGAAUUCUCGGUGUAGCGGUGAAAUGCGUAGAUAUCGAGAGGAACACCUGCGGCGAAGGCGGGUUGCUGGGCUGACACUGACGCUGAGGCGCGAAGGCUAGGGGAGCGAACGGG